AAUAGAUACCCGGGUAGUCCACGCCGUAAACGGUGGGCACUAGGUGUGGGCGACAUUCCACGUCGUCCGUGCCGCAGCUAACGCAUUAAGUGCCCCGCCUGGGGAGUACGGCCGCAAGGCUAAAACUCAAAGGAAUUGACGGGGGCCCGUACAAGCGGCGGAGCAUGUGGCUUAAUUCGACGCAACGCGAAGAACCUUACCAAGGCUUGACAUACACCGGAAACGUCCAGAGAUGGGCGCCCCCUUGUGGUCGGUGUACAGGUGGUGCGUGGCUGUCGUCAGCUCGUGUCGUGAGAUGUUGGGUUAAGUCCCGCAACGAGCGCAACCCUUGUCCCGUGUUGCCAGCAGGCCCUUGUGGUGCUGGGGACUCACGGGAGACCGCCGGGGUCAACUCGGAGGAAGGUGGGGACGACGUCAAGUCAUCAUGCCCCUUAUGUCUUGGGCUGCACACGUGCUACAAUGGCCGGUACAAUGAGCUGCGAUACCGCGAGGUGGAGCGAAUCUCAAAAAGCCGGUCUCAGUUCGGAUUGGGGUCUGCAACUCGACCCC
This 549-nucleotide ribosomal RNA is filed under the name uncultured bacterium. RNAcentral describes it as "bacterial SSU rRNA". It matches the Rfam family "Bacterial small subunit ribosomal RNA", at positions 777 to 1319 of the family's 1533-position model. The record is from RNAcentral.